This 508-nucleotide ribosomal RNA is filed under the name uncultured Staphylococcus sp. RNAcentral describes it as "partial 16S ribosomal RNA". Lineage: Bacteria; Bacillati; Bacillota; Bacilli; Caryophanales; Staphylococcaceae. The record is from RNAcentral.
CACGUAGUUAGCCGUGGCUUUCUGAUUAGGUACCGUCAAGACGUGCAUAGUUACUUACACAUUUGUUCUUCCCUAAUAACAGAGUUUUACGAUCCGAAGACCUUCAUCACUCACGCGGCGUUGCUCCGUCAGGCUUUCACCCAUUGCGGAAGAUUCCCUACUGCUGCCUCCCGUAGGAGUCUGGACCGUGUCUCAGUUCCAGUGUGGCCGAUCACCCUCUCAGGUCGGCUACGCAUCGUUGCCUUGGUAAGCCGUUACCUUACCAACUAGCUAAUGCGGCGCGGAUCCAUCUAUAAGUGACAGCAAAACCGUCUUUCACUAUUGAACCAUGCGGUUCAAUAUAUUAUCCGGUAUUAGCUCCGGUUUCCCGAAGUUAUCCCAGUCUUAUAGGUAGGUUAUCCACGUGUUACUCACCCGUCCGCCGCUAACGUCAGAGGAGCAAGCUCCCCGUCUGUUCGCUCGACUUGCAUGUAUUAGGCACGCCGCCAGCGUUCAUCCUGAGCCAGGA